This 253-nucleotide ribosomal RNA is filed under the name uncultured bacterium. Its description in RNAcentral is "partial 16S ribosomal RNA". It matches the Rfam family "Bacterial small subunit ribosomal RNA", at positions 524 to 776 of the family's 1533-position model. The record is from RNAcentral.
UACGGAAGGGGCGAGCGUUGUUCGGAAUCACUGGGCGUAAAGCGCGCGUAGGCGGCUUUGCAAGUGCGGCGUGAAAGUCCUGGGCUCAACCUGGGGACGGCGCUGCGGACUGCAUGGCUGGAGUCUGGAAGAGGGUGGUGGAAUUCCGAGUGUAGAGGUGAAAUUCGUAGAUAUUCGGAGGAACACCGGUGGCGAAGGCGGCCACCUGGUCCGGCACUGACGCUGUAGCGCGAAAGCUAGGGGAGCAAACGGG